RNAcentral lists this ribosomal RNA (306 nucleotides) under Elmis obscura. Its description in RNAcentral is "partial small subunit ribosomal RNA". The record is from RNAcentral. Lineage: Eukaryota; Metazoa; Arthropoda; Insecta; Coleoptera; Elmidae.
AUUAGUAUUAGUUAUUUUCUUGAAAAUUAAAGAUUUUGGCGGUGUUUUAGUCUAUUCAGAGGAACCUGUUCUGUAAUUGAUAGUCCACGAUUAACUUUACUUAAAUAAUUUGUAUAUCGUCGUUAUUUUGAAUAUUUUAUAAGAAUUUUAAUUUUCAAUUUUUAAUAUAAAAAUUUAAGUCAGAUCAAGGUGCAGUUUAUAUCUAAGAAGUAAUGGGUUACAAUAAAUUUGUUUAAAUGGUUUAGUAAUUGAAAUUUUAUUAUUAAAGUGGUAAAGUAAGAUUUUGAAAGGAGGGACUAGAUGACA